AUUGAACGCUGGCGGCAGGCCUAACACAUGCAAGUCGAAUGGUAACAGGAAACAGCUUGCUGUUUCGCUGACGAGUGGCGGACGGGUGAGUAAUGUCUGGGAAACUGCCUGAUGGAGGGGGAUAACUACUGGAAACGGUAGCUAAUACCGCAUAACGUCGCAAGACCAAAGAGGGGGACCUUCGGGCCUCUUGCCAUCAGAUGUGCCCAGAUGGGAUUAGCUAGUAGGUGGGGUAACGGCUCACCUAGUCGACGAUCCCUAGCUGGUCUGAGAGGAUGACCGCCCACACUGGAACUGAGAUACGGUCCAGACUCCUACGGGAGGCAGCAGUGGGGAAUAUUGCGCAAUGGGCGCAAGCCUGAUGCAGCCAUGCCGCGUGUAUGAAGAAGGCCUUCGGGUUGUAAAGUACUUUCAGCGGGGAGGAAGGGAGUAAAGUUAAUACCUGUGCUCAUUGACGUUACCCGCAGAAGAAGCACCGGCUAACUCCGUG
RNAcentral lists this ribosomal RNA (490 nucleotides) under uncultured bacterium. Its description in RNAcentral is "partial 16S ribosomal RNA". It matches the Rfam family "Bacterial small subunit ribosomal RNA", at positions 30 to 507 of the family's 1533-position model. The record is from RNAcentral.